AGCAGCCGCGGUAAUUCCAGCUCCAAUAGCGUAUAUUAAAGUUGUUGCAGUUAAAAAGCUCGUAGUUGAAUUUCGGGAUCAGAGUGUCGGUCGUGCCUCGGUACGCACUGGUAUUAUUGGUUCCUACCUUCUGAAGAACCGCGAUGUCAUUAAUUUGGUGUCGUGGGGAAUCAGGACUGUUACUUUGAAAAAAUUAGAGUGUUUAAAGCAGGCUUACGCUUGAAUACAUUAGCAUGGAAUAAUGAAAUAGGACGUUUGAUUCUAUUUUGUUGGUUUCUAGGAUUGACGUAAUGAUUAAUAGGGAUAGUUGGGGGCAUUAGUAUUCAAUUGUCAGAGGUGAAAUUCUUGGAUUUAUUGAAGACUAACUACUGCGAAAGCAUUUGCCAAGGAUGUUUUCAUUAAUCAAGAACGAAAGUUAGGGGAUCGAAGACGAUCAGAUACCGUCGUAGUCUUAACCAUAAACUAUGCCGACUAGGGAUCGGAUGAUGUUAAUUUUUAAUGUACUCAUUCGGCGCCUUAA
RNAcentral lists this ribosomal RNA (520 nucleotides) under uncultured Glomus. Its description in RNAcentral is "SSU rRNA". It matches the Rfam family "Eukaryotic small subunit ribosomal RNA", at positions 569 to 1091 of the family's 1831-position model. Lineage: Eukaryota; Fungi; Glomeromycota; Glomeromycetes; Glomerales; Glomeraceae. The record is from RNAcentral.